CCUACGGGAGGCAGCAGUGGGGAAUAUUGCACAAUGGGGGAAACCCUGAUGCAGCAACGCCGCGUGAAGGAAGACGGUUUUCGGAUUGUAAACUUCUGUUCUUAGUGAAGAAUAAUGACGUUAGCUAAGGAGCAAGCCACGGCUAACUACGUGCCAGCAGCCGCGGUAAGACGUAGGUGGCAAGCGUUGUCCGGAAUUACUGGGUGUAAAGGGAGCGCAGGCGGGAAGCCAAGUCAGCUGUGAAAGCUACGGGCUUAACUUGGAGACUGCAGUUGAAACUGGUUGUCUUGAGUGAAGUAGAGGUUGGCGGAAUGCCGAGUGUAGCGGUGAAAUGCGUAGAGAUUAGGAGGAACACCGGUGGCGAAGGCGGCUAACUGGGCUUUAACUGACGCUGAGGCUCGAAAGUGUGGGGAGCAAACAGGAUUAGAUACCCGAGUAGUC
Molecule: ribosomal RNA, 441 nt
Filed under: uncultured bacterium
Lineage: Bacteria
Description: partial 16S ribosomal RNA
Rfam family: Bacterial small subunit ribosomal RNA
Source: RNAcentral